UAGCUGGUCUGAGAGGACGAUCAGCCACACUGGAACUGAGACACGGUCCAGACACCUACGGGUGGCAGCAGUCGAGAAUCAUUCACAAUGGGGGCAACCCUGAUGGUGUGACGUCGCGUGGAGGAUGAAGGCCCUAGGGUUGUAAACUCCUGUCAUCAGAGAGUAAGGCAUGGGCGUUAAUAGCGUGCACGUUUGAUAGUAUCUGAAGAGGAAGGGACGGCUAACUUCGUGCCAGCAGCCGCGGUAAUACGAAGGUCCCAAGCGUUGUUCGGAAUCACUGGGCGUAAAGCGAGCGUAGGUGGUUCGGUAAGUCGGGUGUGAAAGGCAGGGGCUCAACUCCUGGACUGCACCUGAUACUGCCGUGACUGGAGUAGUGGAGGGGAAACCGGAAUUCUCGGUGUAGCAGUGAAAUGCGUAGAUAUCGAGAGGAAGACUCGUGGCGAAAGCGGGUUUCUGGACACUUACUGACGCUGAGGCUCGAAGGCCAGGGGAGCGAAAGGGAUUAGAUACCCCUGUAGUCCUGGCAGUAAACGGUGCGCGCUUGGUGUGGGAGGACUCGACCCCUUCCGUGCCGGAGCUAACGCGUUAAGCGCGCCGCCUGGGGAGUACGGUCGCAAGACUAAAACUCAAAGAAAUUGACGGGGACCCGCACAAGCGGUGGAGUAUGUGGCUUAAUUCGAUGCAACGCGAAGAACCUUACCUGGGCUUGACAUGCCGUCAUAGCCUGUGAAAGCAGGCGUCAGUUCGGCUGGACGUGCACAGGUGCUGCAUGGCCGUCGUCAGCUCGUGUCGUGAGAUGUUUGGUUAAGUCCAGCAACGAGCGCAACCCCUGCGUCUAGUUACCAGCACAUAAUGGUGGGGACUUUAGACGGACUGCCCAGAUCAACUGGGAGGAAGGUGGGGACGACGUCAGGUCAGUAUGGCCCUUAUGCCCAGGGCUGCACACGUACUACAAUGCCCGGCACAAUGAGAACCAAAACCGCGAGGUGGAGGAAAUCUACAAAACCGGGCUCAGUUCGGAUUGGAGGCUGCAACUCGCCUCCAUGAAGUUGGAAUCGCUAGAAUGGCGCAUCAGCAACGGCGCCGGAUACGUUCCCGGUCUUGUACACACCGCCCGUCACAUCAUGGAAGC
This 1132-nucleotide ribosomal RNA is filed under the name uncultured organism. Its description in RNAcentral is "bacterial SSU rRNA". It matches the Rfam family "Bacterial small subunit ribosomal RNA", at positions 284 to 1411 of the family's 1533-position model. The record is from RNAcentral.